AUCUCUUCAGAUACCUUUUGAAGUUGGACCAAUGCAGAGGAGAUUAACAUGGCCCCUGCACAAGGAUGUCAGGUUUAAUUGAGAAAAGGUCCAUUUUUUG
Molecule: small nuclear RNA, 100 nt
Organism: Triticum dicoccoides
Lineage: Eukaryota; Viridiplantae; Streptophyta; Magnoliopsida; Poales; Poaceae
Source: RefSeq, a predicted model, not a curated record